This 1247-nucleotide ribosomal RNA is filed under the name Aggregatibacter actinomycetemcomitans. RNAcentral describes it as "bacterial SSU rRNA". It matches the Rfam family "Bacterial small subunit ribosomal RNA", at positions 59 to 1298 of the family's 1533-position model. Lineage: Bacteria; Pseudomonadati; Pseudomonadota; Gammaproteobacteria; Pasteurellales; Pasteurellaceae. The record is from RNAcentral.
CAGUCGGACGGUAACGGGUAAGUACUUGUACUUAUGCUGACGAGUGGCGGACGGGUGAGUAAUGCUUGGGAAUCUGUCUUAUGGAGGGGGAUAACGACGGGAAACUGUCGCUAAUACCGCGUAGAGUCGGGAGACGAAAGUGCGGGACUUAAUGGCCGCAUGCCAUGAGAUGAGCCCAAGUGUGAUUAGGUAGUUGGUGGGGUAAAGGCCUACCAAGCCGACGAUCGCUAGCUGGUCUGAGAGGAUGGCCAGCCCACACCGGGACUGAGACACGGCCCGGACUCCUACGGGAGGCAGCAGUGGGGAAUAUUGCGCAAUGGGGGCAACCCUGACGCAGCCAUGCCGCGUGAAUGAAGAAGGCCUUCGGGUUGUAAAGUUCUUUCGGUGGUGAGGAAGGGAUGUUGUUUAAUAGAUAACAUCAUUGACGUUAACUACAGAAGAAGCACCGGCUAACUCCGUGCCAGCAGCCGCGGUAAUACGGAGGGUGCGAGCGUUAAUCGGAAUAACUGGGCGUAAAGGGCACGCAGGCGGACCUUUAAGUGAGGUGUGAAAUCCCCGGGCUUAACCUGGGAAUUGCAUUUCAUACUGGGGGUCUGGAGUACUUUAGGGAGGGGUAGAAUUCCACGUGUAGCGGUGAAAUGCGUAGAGAUGUGGAGGAAUACCGAAGGCGAAGGCAGCCCCUUGGGGAUGUACUGACGCUGAUGUGCGAAAGCGUGGGGAGCAAACAGGAUUAGAUACCCUGGUAGUCCACGCUGUAAACGGUGUCGAUUUGGGGAUUGGGGUUUAGCCUUGGUGCCCGAAGCUAACGUGAUAAAUCGACCGCCUGGGGAGUACGGCCGCAAGGUUAAAACUCAAAUGAAUUGACGGGGGCCCGCACAAGCGGUGGAGCAUGUGGUUUAAUUCGAUGCAACGCGAAGAACCUUACCUACUCUUGACAUCCAUGGAAUCCUGUAGAGAUACGGGAGUGCCUUUGGGAACCAUGAGACAGGUGCUGCAUGGCUGUCGUCAGCUCGUGUUGUGAAAUGUUGGGUUAAGUCCCGCAACGAGCGCAACCCUUAUCCUUUGUUGCCAGCGACUUGGUCGGGAACUCAAAGGAGACUGCCGGUGAUAAACCGGAGGAAGGUGGGGAUGACGUCAAGUCAUCAUGGCCCUUACGAGUAGGGCUACACACGUGCUACAAUGGCGUAUACAGAGGGUAACCAACCGGUGAUGGGGAGUGAAUCUCAAAAAGUACGUCUAGUUCGGAU